RNAcentral lists this transfer RNA (73 nucleotides) under Dinghuibacter silviterrae. It matches the Rfam family "tRNA". From Rfam's summary of the family: Transfer RNA (tRNA) molecules are approximately 80 nucleotides in length. Their secondary structure includes four short double-helical elements and three loops (D, anti-codon, and T loops). Lineage: Bacteria; Pseudomonadati; Bacteroidota; Chitinophagia; Chitinophagales; Chitinophagaceae. The record is from Rfam by way of RNAcentral.
AGCCUGGUAGCUCAGUGGAUAGAGCGGCAGCCUUCUAAGCUGUUGGUCGUAGGUUCGAUCCCUAUCCAGGCUA